GUCAACCGUAAGUGUUAGGGGACUCUUACCAGACCUGCUCAGAUUCUAGAAAUAUCAAAGCCAUAUCUAGAGAUUUUGUUCCUAGGCAAGUGCAUGUCUUUUUAAGCUCCUUUACCUUUGUGUCUCUGUUUACGUGGACUUUGGUCUUGGUCAUUCAAUUUCUCAAGUAAGUCUCUCAUGGAUUGAUGAACGAUGGCCCUCCACUCAUCUUUCCAGCAGUCGCAUUGGUUCAUCAGAGAGAAGUUGCUGCUUGGUGCUCCACUCAGUUCCCAUGUUAGAUUUCUCUUUUUCAAGUAAGGUUGUCGUCUGGAUCUUUACUCUUCAUAGCUGCCUCCUUAUUAUUUAUUUCGUGGAAUUGGUUGUCUUAAUUGCAUUAAAGAGCAGUAGAGCAUAUGGAUUGUAAAGAACAAGAAUCAUCUUCACAAACAGGCUGUCUAGUUCUUAUAAUUUCAGUGUCAUUUUUUUCCAACUUUAAAUGUGGAUUUUAGCUUAAUUUGUACAGGGAAUCUAAUUCUUGUUUUUUGCUUUCAAUCUUUUUGAGUAUCGAAUUUUUUUCUUUCCCUCCAUUUCCCUCUUUCCCCUCCCCUAUAUACUAUCCCUAUUACUUGUUUGCUUGAUAGGAAAGCUGAAGAAACAGCACUAAAUGAAAACUUUGAAGCACAUGGAUCAGUGUGUCUUAAUUUGCAAUAGAUGAAGCACAAAGUUAAAAUUUGUGUAAUAAGAGGUAUGAUUGAGUUGAUGAUUUUAUUUCUAUGAUUAAUGAACUCUAUUUUCCGCUUCUUCUUACUAGUUUUGUUCGGCAAUGAAGACUGUAUUUCAGCUCAUUUAAAUUCAGUGCUUGCUCAUUUCUAUUCUUAGAUAUUCUCAUAGAGGGAGCAUCAGAUAUUUUUUGUCAUCUAACUUGUAUCUUUGAAAAAUUGUAUUGUAAGAACUGCUGAUGAAGUCCUGGUUUUCAUCUCCUUAGAACCCAUGAUUCAAUUGACUGCAAAUUCUCCAGCAGUAGCAGUUAACAAAUUCAUUUGGGAUGCAUGAGGAUGGUUAUGCUAUUGAUCUGAAAUGAAUGCAAUUGUGCUUGUUUUGUAUCUCUUUGUUUUCUUUGGACUGUUUUCGAGUGGCUGUGGUACGAAUGUUACUUCAAGACCUGCUGUUGUAAAAAUUGGAGCCAUUUUUUCAUUCGACUCUACCAUUGGAAGAGUCGCCAAGAUUGCCAUUCAGGAAGCUGUCAAAGAUGUAAAUGCAAAUUCUAGCAUUCUGCAUGGAACCAAACUUGCUGUCACAAUGCACAGCUCCAACUGCAGUGGGUUUACGGGCAUGGUUGAAGCUCUGCGAUUCAUGGAGAAUGAUAUCGUUGCUAUUAUAGGCCCACAAUCUUCUGUAGUUGCUCAUAUCAUAUCCCAUGUUGUAAAUGAACUCCAAGUUCCUCUGUUGUCCUUUGCCGCAACAGAUCCCACUCUUAACUCACUCCAAUUCCCCUUUUUUGUUAGGACAACACAAAGUGAUUCAUACCAAAUGGCUGCAAUAGCUGAAAUAGUUGAUUAUUAUGGUUGGAAGCAGGUAAUUGCCAUUUUUAUUGAUGACGAUUACGGACGAAAUGGCAUAUUAGCUCUAAGUGAUAAACUUGCUGAGAGGAGGUGUAAAAUCUCUUACAAAUUGGGGAUUCCACCAGACACUGAUGUUAGUCAGGGAGAAAUCAUGGAUAUUCUUGUUAAGGUUGCAUUAAUGGAAUCUCGAGUUGUUGUUCUUCAUGUAAAUCCUAAGUUAGGUUUUAGUGUCUUGUCUGUGGCAAAAUAUCUUGGGAUGAUGGGUAAUGGAUAUGUAUGGAUUGCCACAGAUUGGCUUUCAUCUUAUUUAGAUUCUUUUUCUCCCCUAUCUUCUGAGACCAUGAACACAAUGCAAGGAGUUCUUGCUUUACGUCAUUACACUCCAGAUUCAGAUAGGAAGAGAUCCUUUUCCUCUAGGUGGAGCAAGUUGGCUGGUGGUUCUCUGGGGCUGAAUUCUUAUGGGCUUUAUGCUUAUGAUUCUGUCUGGCUGGUUGCUCAUGCUAUUGACGCAUUUUUUGACCAGGGUGGGGUUGUCUCAUUUUCUAAUGAUCCCAGGUUGAUUCCUGCAGAAGGUGGUAAUCUUCAUCUUGAUGCAAUGAACAUUUUUGAUGGUGGAACACUACUGCUGAAGAACAUAUUGAAGAGUGAUCUUAUUGGUUUAACAGGUCCACUAAAGUUUGAUUCUGACAGAUCUCUGAUUCUUCCUGCUUAUGAUGUUAUUAAUGUGAUAGGAACUGGGUAUAGACGGAUUGGUUACUGGUCCAAUUAUUCUGGUUUAUCAACUGUUCCUCCAGAGACACUCUAUACGGGGCCACCGAAUCGUUCCAGUGCAAACCAGCAUUUGUACAGUGUCAUUUGGCCUGGAGAGACAAUAUUAAAGCCCCGUGGAUGGGUUUUUCCCAACAAUGGGAAGCAAUUGAGAAUUGGUGUGCCUGUUCGGUUUAGUUUCAAGGAAUUUGUAACACAAGUGCGAGGGACGGACACGUUCAAGGGUUUUUGUGUAGAUGUAUUUACAGCUGCUAUAAGUUUAUUACCAUAUGCUGUUCCAUAUCAAUUUAUCCCCUUUGGAAAUGGUAAAGAAAACCCCAGCUACACAGAACUUGUGAAUAAGAUCACGACGGGUUUCUUUGAUGCUGUCAUUGGUGAUGUUGCCAUAGUCACAAAUCGAACCAAAAUUGUGGAUUUUACACAGCCAUAUGUAGCAUCAGGAUUGGUUGUUGUGGCCCCAUUUAGGAAAUUGAACUCAGGGGCCUGGGCUUUCCUCCGACCAUUUAGUCCACUUAUGUGGAUUGUUACUGGCUGUUUCUUCAUUGUUGUUGGCACAGUGGUCUGGAUUCUGGAGCAUAGGAUAAAUGAUGAGUUCAGGGGUCCACCUAAAAGACAAGUUAUAACUGUUUUAUGGUUCAGCCUCUCAACCCUAUUUUUUUCCCAUAGAGAAAACACUGUGGGCACCCUGGGUCGCUUUGUGCUAAUCAUAUGGCUCUUUGUAGUAUUAAUAAUUAAUUCAAGCUACACUGCAAGUCUUACAUCAAUACUCACAGUUCAGCGGUUAUUUUCUCCUAUCAGUGGGAUUGAAAGCUUGAAGGAAGGUGAUGAACCCAUAGGAUACCAAGUGGGUUCUUUUGUUGAAUAUUAUUUGAGCGAAGAACUUGGAAUAUCUAAAUCUAGGCUUGUUGCCUUAGGAUCACCUGAAGCAUAUGCUAAAGCACUCCAACUUGGUCCUAAAAAGAAGGGGGGUGUUGCUGCUGUUGUUGAUGAACUUCCUUACGUUGAACACUUCCUCUCAACCCAGUGUGCAUUCAGGAUUGUGGGUCAAGAAUUUACAAAAAGUGGCUGGGGCUUUGUGAGUGCCUAUUUUCUGGUUGCUAUGUUCUUUUCUCGUCUGAAAUCAGAAGCGUUAGGUCUAAAAUGCAUGGAUAUUUGUCUCGCUAAACAACUGAUGAAACAUUCAUUCAAUUGGUUCUUUUAUUCUUUGGCAUUUGGACUCUAAAUUCUGAGCUCACAUUGGAUUUAUUUCACAAGAUGAAAUUUGACAUAAUAUCUGCAAUUAAACAGUGCAAUAUAUGUUACUCAGGCUUCAUUUUUAUUCAUUCUUUCUUCUCGUGUAUUUUCUGCAUGCCAGGCAUUUCCACGGGACUCUCCCUUAGCUGUUGAUAUGUCAACGGCAAUUCUAGCACUAUCGGAAAAUGGUGAUCUUCAAAGGAUCCAUGACAAGUGGCUCAUGCAUAGCAGUUGCAGUUCAGAUAGAACUGAGAUCGAAUCAGAUAGACUUGAGCUUAAAAGCUUUUGGGGCCUCUUUGUCAUUUGUGGGCUAGCUUGCUUCUUUGCUCUCUUCAUAUAUUUUCUGCAGAUUAUACGCCAAUUAUAUCGUGCUCCCCCUACAGAAUCCACUUCCCCUGUUCAAGGUAGCUCACGCUCUGGGCGUAUUCACAGACUCUUAUCAUUAAUGGAUGAGAAGGAAGACCAUUCUGGGAAGAAGAAUAAGAGAAAGGUGGAAAGAUCAUUAUCUGAGAAUGAUAGGGAUGCAGAGUUGGGAAGGAAUACCAAGAGGAAGGGAGUAGAAAUGAGCUCCGGGAGCAACAUCAACCCCAGCAUUUAAUUCUGCAUGCUUGUUCAUGAGAAUAUACAGCCCCUUAAUUGUAUGAUUACACAAUAAUUUAACAAGACCAUAUUUUAGAGCCUUUUAAUUGUUUAUAUAUAUGUCCAAAACCAUAUCAUUUUGUAGGAAUUUUAGCAUAGAAAAUUUUGCUUAAUCCCCACAAGAGAAUCUUGGCUUGAAGAUUUUCCCUUGUGAAGAAAUGUUAAAAGUGAAAUACCGGAGCUAAUAAAGAAUGUAAAACAAUUGCAUUAUAUAGUAUAUUUUCACUUAUUA
This 4413-nucleotide unclassified non-coding RNA is filed under the name Hevea brasiliensis (rubber tree). Lineage: Eukaryota; Viridiplantae; Streptophyta; Magnoliopsida; Malpighiales; Euphorbiaceae. The record is from RNAcentral.